GGAAUCUGGUGGCUGGGAGAAGGAGUGAACCAUCCUUCUCUGUGACUUGAGCUCUGCUUUUUCAGGACUUAGAAUCCUCAAGCGAUGGCUGCCUAUACCGUUGGUUUCCUCUUGUCUCCAAGACAAGGAGCUUCCCCCCUUCCCAGAGUUCCCCAGGCCAUUUGGUGUCCAUGCAGAACAUGCUCACGAGGGGUAGUUUGAGAUUGCAAGGACACUUCCUUGCCCCAUGCCAGCCACAUCCCUGCUGAGCUUCUCCCCAGUGUCUCCCAGGCCAUGCAGGAUAUGGGAACCCAGGACGCUACAGCCAGAGUGGGGGCAGCCACAGAUCCCACUGCAGCCAGGCAAUAAGAAGCAGUCAGGGCUUGGGAGUGUCUCAGUGCCCCUCAGCAGGACCAGUCAUGCCCCCAUUGCUGCCAGGGGCCGCCUGGAGCCAUCUCUCCAUCCACAACAUCGGCCGGGAUGGAGCACGGCCCUGGGUUGCCAUACCAACGCAGGUGCUAACGGGUGUUGACUAACUGUGAGCCGAUCGGAUCAGAGAAUGGUAGCGCUGAGUUGCCAUGGCAACCGAGAUGCCAAAUUGGAAAUGGUGUGGAUAGCAAAGGUGCUCAAGAGGUGGCAAGUGUGCGCAGGGGGCAGUGCCUGGCCGGAGGCUGCAAGCACCCCAGUGGGCAUCUACCUGCCCAGGCCACCCACGGCUCCUCCUCCUGGGGUGGUGGGAUGGUUCAGGGCACUGCAGCAGCUUGGCUGUGUCCCACGUGCCAGCCCCAGUGGAUCUCCUCUGGGACAUGGCUGUUGCCUUGUGCCAAAAUCCUUUGCCUAUCUGACUGCAUGGCUCUCAUACAAAUUGGACAGGUUCAGGUGUCCCUUCUGCAGACAAGGUUAAUGGGAUGUGAGAGGCCACAGCUGCCACAGCACCAAGUGAGGAGGACAAGCAAGAGACAGCAGCAUUAAUCAGCCAGGAGCCAUGCAGAAAUGGUUAUCUCAAGCUGUUUGGAAGC
This is a long non-coding RNA of Manacus vitellinus (golden-collared manakin), 998 nucleotides long. NCBI's taxonomy places the organism in Eukaryota, Metazoa, Chordata, Aves, Passeriformes, Pipridae. The record is from Ensembl.